CGCGGGGUGGAGCAGCCUGGUCGCACGUCGGGCUCAUAACCCGAAGGUCGUCGGUUCAAAUCCGGCCCCCGCAACCA
RNAcentral lists this transfer RNA (77 nucleotides) under Salmonella enterica subsp. enterica serovar Typhimurium. Its description in RNAcentral is "tRNA-Met". It matches the Rfam family "tRNA". From Rfam's summary of the family: Transfer RNA (tRNA) molecules are approximately 80 nucleotides in length. The record is from RNAcentral. Lineage: Bacteria; Pseudomonadati; Pseudomonadota; Gammaproteobacteria; Enterobacterales; Enterobacteriaceae.